Molecule: ribosomal RNA, 332 nt
Filed under: uncultured fungus
Lineage: Eukaryota; Fungi
Description: eukaryotic LSU rRNA
Rfam family: 5.8S ribosomal RNA (bases 1-125)
Source: RNAcentral
GCAUCGAUGAAGAACGCAGCGAAAUGCGAUAAGUAAUGUGAAUUGCAGAAUUCAGUGAAUCAUCGAAUCUUUGAACGCACAUUGCGCCCCCUGGCAUUCCGGGGGGCAUGCCUGUUCGAGCGUCAUUACACCACUCAAGCCUGGCUUGGUAUUGGAGGUCGCGGUCCGCCGCGCCUCCUAAUGUCGCCGGCCGAGUCGUCUGUCUCCGAGCGUUGUGAAUCUUCAAUUCGCUUUCGAGUACAGGCGGCGCGCGCCGUUAAACCUCUUUUUCAGGUUGACCUCGGAUCAGGUAGGGAUACCCGCUGAACUUAAGCAUAUCAAUAAGCGGAGGA